This is a long non-coding RNA of Lucilia sericata (common green bottle fly), 180 nucleotides long. RefSeq lists it as uncharacterized. The transcript is spliced from 2 exons. NCBI's taxonomy places the organism in Eukaryota, Metazoa, Arthropoda, Insecta, Diptera, Calliphoridae. The record is from RefSeq and is a predicted model, not a curated record.
GCAACAUUUUUUAUUCUUUUGCAGGAUUGGCGCGUUGGAUGGAGAAACUUGACUAUAGAACAUUGGAGCACAUAUCUGUGCAUUGGAGGAUAGUGAAGAACACUGGAGGAUAGCGGAAAAACUGGAAACUGCUUCAAUCCUGGAAAUAAUAUUUAUUGAGCCAACCCAUUUUCAAAAAAG